Long non-coding RNA from Tyto alba (common barn owl), 228 nucleotides. RefSeq lists it as uncharacterized. The transcript has 3 exons. NCBI's taxonomy places the organism in Eukaryota, Metazoa, Chordata, Aves, Strigiformes, Tytonidae. The record is from RefSeq and is a predicted model, not a curated record.
UCAUCAAUGUUGUUUUCCCAAACUAAUCUGGUGUUGGAAGCAGAACAUGUGGCUGGAUGGACCUUAGGUGGCAGUUAUUCUAUUUUAAGUAAGUGUUGAGAAAGCAACAAUCAAAAUUUUCAAGCAUUUUCCCCACGAUAUUCUUCACAAGAGAUUAAGAAAAUAAAGGUGAAUUAAUGCCAGGUGCGUGAUGUGUUGAUUUUACUUACGCAAAUGGAAAAUAUAUGG